CGCAUGUGCAGACACAUGCCGCCACUUUGUUCUGAAGGCUGGAUUGAACGUUAUCCCCUUGUUAGUAGCUCCUUGAAUGCUGUAUCCAUAGUUCUGCAUUUUCGGAAAAUUCCAUAACAACAUGGCGACGAGGAUGGGAUAUCAUGUGCAGGGGUCAGAUAAAAGAGACUCCGUGGUUUACUGAGGACUCGCGAUCCGAGAUCCAACGAUCUUCGCCUCUACCUCGCCCAAAAAGCAUUCAGAGAGAGAGGAUCAGAAACCACCACUGAUCUAUUAAGACGGAAGCAAUUCCACGCAGCAGGUACAGAAAGACGAGUUGGAGAAACGGAGGGACGAAGAGGACACAGACUCAACUAUCGGACAGGACCGACAUCAGUCACCACUGCAGCGGGUGGAAAGACCAACGAGUACGUGAGAAAACCAUGUUUGAAGCGUUUGUCUGUAUGUUACAACAGGCUGGUGGGCAACAUAUGGAGCGCGGACCCGAAAAAGGCCGCUCCCACGAAGGACGUGGUCGAGCCAGAAGGUGCCGAGGCGGGUACCGUGGGCAAAAUAAUGAGCCCUACAACCGAGACCAGUGUUUGUACUGCAAGGACUUUGGACAUUGGGUAUGUAAUUGCCCGAAGAAAAAGCUAAAAACACCUCUGACAAAGAACAACGCUAGUCCCUCUGUUUGACGGAGUCCAAAAGCUGAUAAGGAAAGUACUGCUAAAAAACACACACACACUUGCUUCAUGCAAUGAAGAAAUGCUUGGCACUGAUGCACUGUUUUUUGUUUUUGCU
Perca flavescens (yellow perch) is the source of this 783-nucleotide long non-coding RNA. RefSeq lists it as uncharacterized. The transcript is spliced from 3 exons. NCBI's taxonomy places the organism in Eukaryota, Metazoa, Chordata, Actinopteri, Perciformes, Percidae. The record is from RefSeq and is a predicted model, not a curated record.